RNAcentral lists this ribosomal RNA (402 nucleotides) under uncultured prokaryote. RNAcentral describes it as "bacterial SSU rRNA". It matches the Rfam family "Bacterial small subunit ribosomal RNA", at positions 355 to 774 of the family's 1533-position model. The record is from RNAcentral.
UAGGGAAUAUUAGAAAUGGACGAAAGUCUGAUCUAGCAACACCGCGUGUGCGAAGAAGGCCUUCGGGUCGUAAAGCACUUUUUGGAAGGAAUAGGAAGGAAUGUACUUCCAGAAUAAGUCUCGGCUAACUACGUGCCAGCAGCCGCGGUAACACGUAGGAGGCGAACGUUAUCCGGAUUUAUUGGGCGUAAAGCGCGUGUAGGUGGUUCUGUAAGUAGGGCGUUAAAGCUCCUAGCUCAACUGGGAGAGGCCGUUCUGAACUACAGAACUAGAGGAUGGUAGAGGGAGGUGGAAUUCCAGGUGUAGCGGUGGAGUGCGCAGAUAUCUGGAGGAACACCAGUGGCGAAGGCGGCCUCCUGGACCAUUCCUGACACUCAGACGCGAAAGCUAGGGUAGCAAACG